CCAAGUCUGCACACCACGCGAUUCCCAACGGUGCAGACCCGCGAGCUGUCGAAGCGACUUCUGGCUUUGUAGAUAAAACUUCCCUAACUUCAGUAAUUUAGCGUUCCAGUUCUCACCCAUGUCUUUCCUCUAAUACCUCACACUCUAGUUUCCCUACACAUCGCUAAAAGUCGAACAUCCUCCCAAUAUGCUUCCGGAUCUCCAAAUCUGUUUCCGGGUGAGCAUCUGCUUCCUGAUCAGAGACGGGCCCCUCCCACUUUGUCUCAGGCGUCUUUCACACAGCUCUAGCUGUUGGCUGCCCCAGGCUCCGCACAGCCUCCCCAUACUCUUGCUGCGAGCCCAGUCGGACGCUGCACUCCGGUAUCUGAGGCCCACUCUGGGUUCUAAACCCUUUAGAUAAAUGACAGUCCCAAAACCGGAGCAGGGGCUCUCUCUGAAUUAGUUGAAUGCCUGUGGACUCUUUCCCCUCACCCGGACGCCCUGUCUGGCCUUAGUCAGAGAGGAUGUGCUUAGUCCUCAGGUGACUUAUAUGCUAGGGGCUGGAGUUGGGGGGUGGGAGGGGACAGACGGUGUGAAUACAGGUGUGGUGGGAAUCCCCCUUCUCAGAGGAGAAUGGGGGGGGGGGUGAUAUUGGGAUGUAAAGUGAAUAAUAAUAAAAAAGAUAAACAGCCUAACAUCUCCACUGGACUACUAACCUCUGGCCUACGUAUUUCAUUCCAACCAAUAAUAGGCUAAAUUCAGAAGCCAGAGUCCCAUCUCCAACACACAAACAUUAAAAAGCCAAAACAAAAUUCCGAAACUUUGACUUGGGGAUAUUUAAAGAACUUGGAUUUUGAACAGAAAUAGGUAGUCACUGGCCAGGCCUUUGCUAACAGCCUAGGGGUGAAUUCAUCCCGCGCUCUACUGCUUUCCCCACUAGAUGGCGGUCUUGUCAUUUAAGUCUCUGUGACUCUUGCAAAGGUGCUUUGAGAGAAACAGAAAAUAUUUUUUUCCUUUUUUUUUUUUUUUUUUUAAUGAAGUGGUGAAUGCAGACUCUUGACUGUCCCAAAUGCAGAAAAUAAGUAAGGUAUGCGGUCCCUGGCCUAAAAACGUCAGUUAUACCAUCCUAUCUCUAGCUCUGGGAACACCAAGGAAGAAGAGGUGGUUAGGCAAUAAGAAGGGAAAGAAGGGAAGGGGGAAGACACACCGUUCUCUAAAGUACAUACAACGACUGUAAUCAGUAAUGAAGAGAAACUGUGGUUGGGCCCAAACAAGACCACAGUCAGUCUAAGAAAGGGAACGGUUCACUUUGCCCCUCAGAUGUAGGCCACGGACAAAUUGUAGGAGAACCACUUCCUUUAGCUGUCAUCCUCUGCUGAGCACAUUGGGCUCCAGCACAUAGCUCCAAACUCAGUCUCACAAAGGGCUCUCAUUCAUUUCAGUGGGUCCAGGCAAUAUGAAUAGAGAUGAACAGAGUAGAAUGAUUGUUGGAAUUGUGGACCACAAGAGGGGGAGAGGUAGGAGGUGUGAGAGUGGGCAGUAUUUGAUGUGUGGACACAAAUGCACACACACAUUCUGCGUGUUUAUACAUAUGAGUGUGAAACCGCUAAUAAUAGAAAGGGGGUUCAUUCAUUCAUUCAGUCAUUGUAGACAUGGUUUUUCUGUUUAAUCCCGUGUGUAAAGAUAUGUGAUACCAUGACCAGCUCAAAUUUCUUUAAAAUGACCACAUGAGUGUGUGGCAUUUUUGGUUUGUUUUUUGUACCAGCAACUGGUGGGAUUUUUGUUUGUUUGAUAACUAAUUGGUGUGCUUGUCCACGAGGGAGAUAUUCCACCACAACAGGAUCAUUAUCUGGUUUAAUGUCAGGGAAUAAUAGAGUCAGGGAGUCUUGUUUUGUGGGUGUCAAGAAGUAUUCAAUGUUAAGUAGCUUUGCGGUUAGUUCUGCUUUGCAGUUCUGCAUAGAAUCCUGUUGAUCUCAUUGUGCGGUUAAUUUCAGGGUUGCAUUUUAUAAUUGCUUAAGUCACAUUGCUACUUAUAGUAUUGUUUAUACUAUUUAUUUCACGUUGUUUACAUUUGCUGUAUUAUAUGCACCUGGAACCUUAUCUAUUUCAAGUUAGCAAUUUCGUGUAAUAGAUGUCAGUAGAAUUAAGAUCCAUUUGUUCAUUCAUUUUUAUCAAGUGUGUUGUGUCUUUACCUUGGGGAACUGUCAGAACAUUAAAAGCUGGGCAGUGGUAGUGCAAGCCUGUAAUCUCAGGAGACAGAGGCAGUCAGAUCUCUGAGUUCCAGGUCAGCCAAGGUUAAGCCCUGUCUCUACAAACAAACAUACCAACAAACAAAGACAUCAGAGGAAGUUAUAUUUCAUUGGGCAAGGUCUUAUAAACCUUCAAAUCUAGAACUCAGGAGACAGAAACAGGGAAGUUUGUGUUCAAGGCCACCCUGGUCUACAUAUAGAAUCUAAGCCAGUUAGCAAUACACAGACAAACCCUAUCUCAAAAUAAAGCAAAAUCCUCUCAGAGAAUUUAGCUUGUUUGGUACCAGAAUAAGCAUUCAAGGCUCCAAAGGAAGAAUCUCGUGAACAGUCCUACCCAACUAUCAUGCCUAUGAACCACAUCGAUGAUCAUGUUGUCAGGACUACUCUAAAGGUUCAAUAAUGGCAAGCUCACCUUGGUGAAAACCAAUAGCUCUCUAAUUGGACUUAGGACACUCUUAACAACAGGGAAACUAUGACUAGUACUGGAAACCUAGCUAACAUCUCACCUCUGGUGAAGUUAUGAUUGGAGAACCAAUCAACCACCAAUUUACUAAUUCAGAUUAGUUCCUAAUAAAAUUCAAAUAUUUUUCUUGUACUCACAAAUAGGUCUUCUUCCAUCAGCAAGGAAAUUUCUCUUUCAACAGAGACCACUACAAAAAAUCUACAACUGAUCAAAAUGUAGAGUUGUUGAGUCCAUAGUUAAUGGACACAUCUACAAAACACUCAUGCACCUAAGGCUUAAGGGAUAAUUUUGAAGAUGGGCUAUUAAUAUUCAAGAGGCAGGAGACCAAGUAGUUUGCUGUGAAAUUGUUUCUACUACUAACAAUGCUAAGAGCUAUAUCCAUAAAAAUCUCAAAAACAUGACUCCCCAAACAAGAACUGAACAAGCACAACAAUGGACAUGUCAAAGUGGAUGGGAAAAGCCCACAUAGCCUCAAUCCCUGCAGAAUGCACCACAGGCAACUACAUUAUGAUUGGGGCAGGAGUCUACUUCAGGAAUGAGCACACCAACUAGUCAUCUCUUACCAAAUGGUCAGCCUGAGAAACAUAUACACAAGUACCAUGAUAUAGUUAGAUGUGGUUAGAUUUAGGAAUAUAUAUGUAUAUCAAUUAUACACACAUUAUACAUAUAUACACACAUACACAUUAUACAUACAAUAACAAUGAAACGAGAAGCCAUGAAUUUAAAACAGAGCAGGGAAGAAUUCAUGUGAGAAUUUGGCAGUAGGAAAGGGAAAUGAAACAUGUAGCUAAACUAUUAUUUUAAAAUUUUACAAUAUAAAAAAUCAGAACAAAAAUGAAACAAAUACGACAAGAAACCAAACAAAAACAAAAAGUUUGUAAAAUUAUCAGUGUAAUCCAGACAAGGAUUCUUAGAAGCUACCAUGCUGCCAUAACUACAGUGUCCAUCAUCAAGAAUAGUAAUGUUAACUACUCUUGGCACAAACAUGGGGCAAGGAGGCCAAAUAUUGCUGGGGGAGUGAGAACUAGAGAAUCAACUUUGAAAAUCAAUGUAUAAAUUCUCCAAGAAAUAAAUAAAUCUGGGUGUUACAAUACUGACCUGUGGCACUAUUCCUGUGGAAACAAAGACACUCAUAUACUUAGCAAUGCUGGGAACCAACAGAGUUCAACAUGGUGCAUCAAUAUGGUUUCUCUUUUAUUGAUGUUUCAUCUGCAUGUAUGUCAGUGAACUAUUUGUGUUCCUUGUGCUUUCAGAGUUCAGAACAGGGUACUGGAUGCCUUGGAGUUGAGGUUACAGAUUGAGUGCCCAUGUGAGAGAGCUGAGAGUGCUCUCAACUACUGAGUCAUCUCUAAAUGCCAGUGGACCAGUGAGUACACUUGGGUGACGUACAAGAGUGUGGACGAGUAGCUACUGAUGGGAACACAAAGGACAGAAUGAUAGUUGCUUCACCCUGUAAGGGUAGUGGCUAAUAAAGCUGCAAACCUGGGGAUCACCAAACAGCUUGCAGGCAGCUCAACCUGAGGUGGGAAGUUUGUCUUUCAAGUCACUCACACCUCCUCCAGGCAGCUUGACCUAUCUUGUCUGAUUCAGGUUACUUUGACUGGUGUGUGCUUCAUGGCUAGUCUGAAUAUCUUCUGGGAAGCUCAUUUUGGCUGAUAAGUCAGAGUCCAUACUGAUUAUAUAUGCUUCAGGCAGGAGGCACCAGUGAAUUUUGCCAGUUUCUGGGACUCCCUGAAGCUACUAAGUCAUCUAUGUUGCCUUAAGCUCCUGGCGAUUCUUUGUAAGAUAGAAUGUAUGAUCUCCCAUUAGAACAUCUGUUUAUUUACCUCUACUUUAAUAUCCUAUAUUUUAAGAAACUUUCUCCAAAUUAAAAGGUUUAGUCUCAGUUGGAGCUGAUACAUAACAAGUACUCCUGGGCAUGUCCUCCAGGGACUCUCCAUCUUUACCCAGGGGCCCUCCGCUCAUCACGUUCAUUGCACCUUUAUUCACGGUGUCUAGGCAAUGGAAUCAACUCAGUCGGCUCUCAACCAAGACAUGCGUAAAUGAAACUGUGACCCUUAUAUAGGAAGGUAUAUUAUUCAGCUGUCAACAAGAUGGAACUGGGAAAUCUGGAAGUAAAAGUAGGUUACUGAAAGUUAUGAUGAGUGCUGUCGCCUAGGCCCCAGCAGUCAACCAUCACAUUCCCACUCAUGUGGAUCUUAGCUUCAAACUUUUGUUUUGUGUAUUCUAGUGAGACUACAUGGAGAUGCCAGGAUGCUAGAAAUGCACCUUGUAGUGGAGAGAUUCAGGAAGAGAGAGGAGGACAGGGUGAACACUGGAAUACAGGGUCUCUGUACUCCUGACAGUGCUAGAACUCACUAUGUAGACAAGUACUCACAGUGAUCUGCUUGGCUGUAUCUUCUAAGUGCUACAAUUAAAGGCAUGCACCAUCUUA
RNAcentral lists this small RNA (5125 nucleotides) under Rattus norvegicus (Norway rat). RNAcentral describes it as "uncharacterized LOC102547319". The record is from RNAcentral. Lineage: Eukaryota; Metazoa; Chordata; Mammalia; Rodentia; Muridae.